UACGUAGGGGGCGAGCGUUAUCCGGAAUUACUGGGCGUAAAGCGCACGCAGGCGGUUCGCCAAGUUUGGAGUGACAGUUGGUGGCUUAACUGCCAAAGUGCUUCAAAAACUGGUGAACUUGAGGACGAGAGAGGAACAUGGAACUCCAGGUGUAGUAGUGAAAUGCGUAGAUAUCUGGAAGAACACCAAUGGCGAAGGCAAUGUUCUGGCUCGUUUCUGACGCUCAGGUGCGAAAGCCAGGGGAGCGAACGGG
RNAcentral lists this ribosomal RNA (253 nucleotides) under uncultured bacterium. RNAcentral describes it as "partial 16S ribosomal RNA". It matches the Rfam family "Bacterial small subunit ribosomal RNA", at positions 524 to 776 of the family's 1533-position model. The record is from RNAcentral.